RNAcentral lists this ribosomal RNA (489 nucleotides) under uncultured bacterium. RNAcentral describes it as "bacterial SSU rRNA". It matches the Rfam family "Bacterial small subunit ribosomal RNA", at positions 36 to 524 of the family's 1533-position model. The record is from RNAcentral.
CAAGACCUGCGGCAGCUUACACAUGCAGUCCCACGAUGAUUACCAGCUUGCUGGUAUGAUUAGUGGCGAACGGGUGAGUAAUGCUUAGGAAUCUGCCUGAUAGUGGGGGACAACAUUCCGAAAGGAAUGCUAAUACCGCAUACGACCUACGGGUGAAAGGGGGCUUUUAGCUCUCGCUAUCAGAUGAGCCUAAGUCGGAUAGCUAGUUGGUGGGGUAAAGGCCUACCAAGGCGACGAUCUGUAGCUGGUCUGAGAGGAUGAUCAGCCACACUGGGACUGAGACACGGCUCAGACUCCUACGGGAGGCAGCAGUGGGGAAUAUUGGACAAUGGGCGAAAGCCUGAUCCAGCCAUGCCGCGUGUGUGAAGAAGGCCUUUUGGUUGUAAAGCACUUUAAGUAGGGAGGAAAAGCUAAUGGUUAAUACCCAUUAGCCCUGACGUUACCUACAGAAUAAGCACCGGCUAACUCUGUGCUAGCAGCCGCGGUAAU